Molecule: ribosomal RNA, 775 nt
Filed under: uncultured Neocallimastigales
Lineage: Eukaryota; Fungi; Neocallimastigomycota; Neocallimastigomycetes; Neocallimastigales
Description: partial large subunit ribosomal RNA
Rfam family: Eukaryotic large subunit ribosomal RNA
Source: RNAcentral
AGAGAGAGACAUGCGCGCAUAUCAAUAAGCGGAGGAAAAGAAACUAACAAGGAUUCCCUUAGUAACGGCGAGUGAAGCGGGAAGAGCUCAAAUUUGAAAUCUUCAAGGUUUUACCUUGACGAAUUGUAGUUUAAAGAAGUGUUUUCUGCUGAAGUUUUGGUAAAAGUUCUUUGGAAUAGGACAUCAUAGAGGGUGAGAAUCCCGUAUUUGACCAUUAUUUUCAGCUUUGUGAUACACUUUCAAAGAGUCGGAUUGUUUGGGAAUGCAGUCCAAAAUGGGUGGUAAAUUUCAUCUAAAGCUAAAUAUUGGCGAGAGACCGAUAGCGAACAAGUACCGUGAGGGAAAGAUGAAAAGAACUUUGAAAAGAGAGUUAAACAGUACGUGAAAUUGUCAAAAGGGAAGCGUUUGACACCAGUGUUGUUUUCUCGAAAAUCAAUUAAAAAUGGCUCGAUUUUGUAUUGCUUGAGACCUUAAAAGCUCACUGUACAUUUUUCGUGUCUUUUUUAAUGCACUUUUCGUUUAACAAGUCAACAUCAGUUUCUUUUGUUGUAAAAGGGUCAUUGGAAGGUGGCUUUCUUUUCGGAGAAAGUGUUUAUAGCCUUUGGCCUCUGCAAUUGGAGAGACUGAGGUCUGCAGCGUAGACUCUUCGGGGUUAGAUACAUUUGUGCUAAGUUAUAGCUUUUUAUAGACAACUUGUUGACUAUAAUUAGUCUUGUAGCUUACUCGCUUAUGCUAUUUUACCUACGCUUAGGAUGUUGAAGUCAUCGUAUCGCGC